UGCCUACGGGGCGCAGCAGUAGGGAAUCUUCCACAAUGGACGAAAGUCUGAUGGAGCAACGCCGCGUGAGUGAAGAAGGGUUUCGGCUCGUAAAGCUCUGUUUGUAGUGGAGAAAGAUAGAGGUAGUAACUGGCCUUUAUUUUACGGUAAUUACUUAGAAAGUCCCGGCUAACUACGUGCCCGCCGCCGCGGUAAUACGUAGGUGGCAAGCGUUGUCCGGAUUUUUUGGGCGUCAAGCGAGU
This 242-nucleotide ribosomal RNA is filed under the name uncultured bacterium. RNAcentral's name for it is "partial 16S ribosomal RNA". It matches the Rfam family "Bacterial small subunit ribosomal RNA", at positions 335 to 570 of the family's 1533-position model. The record is from RNAcentral.